RNAcentral lists this ribosomal RNA (253 nucleotides) under uncultured bacterium. Its description in RNAcentral is "partial 16S ribosomal RNA". It matches the Rfam family "Bacterial small subunit ribosomal RNA", at positions 524 to 776 of the family's 1533-position model. The record is from RNAcentral.
UACAGAGGGUGCGAGCGUUAAUCGGAAUUACUGGGCGUAAAGCGCACGUAGGCGGCUUGGUAUGUCGGGUGUGAAAUCCCCGGGCUCAACCUGGGAACUGCAUCCGAAACUGCCUUGCUAGAGUAUGGGAGAGGGAAGUGGAAUUUCCGGUGUAGCGGUGAAAUGCGUAGAUAUCGGGAGGAACACCAGUGGCGAAAGCGCUUGACUGGGCCGUAACUGACGCUGAGGAACGAAAGCCAGGGGAGCGAAAGGG